CAUAGCUGUGAUGAAUAACACUUUGGCAGGGAGAAGGGCAGCAUUACUGUUUUUAGGGUGGAAAGACAGUUUUUACUUUUCAUAUGUACAGUGCCUGGCACGAUGGAGACUCAGCCUCAGUUGGACUUGCUAGCCACUUAUAUUUAUGUCAGGGUCUUUGCUAGAUUCCAGGCAGAAUGGUGUCAAAAGGGAAAAAUCACUUUACCAUGUCAACAAUACUGGCACUCUAACUAAAAUCAACAACUCUUAACAAGUAGGUCUAAGAUCAGAGCACCUUAUUGUCAUUUGAAUUCUCAGUAGCAUAUUUUAUGUGAUGCCUCCAUAUUUGAGAUUUAACAAAUUGGCAAUUCUUGAAAUAAAAGAACAG
Alligator sinensis (Chinese alligator) is the source of this 367-nucleotide long non-coding RNA. RefSeq lists it as uncharacterized. The transcript is spliced from 3 exons. The record is from RefSeq and is a predicted model, not a curated record. Lineage: Eukaryota; Metazoa; Chordata; Crocodylia; Alligatoridae.